RNAcentral lists this non-coding RNA (119 nucleotides) under Bemisia tabaci. Its description in RNAcentral is "U4atac minor spliceosomal RNA". It matches the Rfam family "U4atac minor spliceosomal RNA". From Rfam's summary of the family: U4atac is an essential component of the minor U12-type spliceosome complex which is required for removal of the rarer class of eukaryotic introns (AT-AC, U12-type). The record is from RNAcentral. Lineage: Eukaryota; Metazoa; Arthropoda; Insecta; Hemiptera; Aleyrodidae.
CCUAUCCUUGUCUGGGAGAGCAUUACACUCAAUGAUCGUUUAGUGAGAGUAUAGUUGCUGAAACCAAGAUAAACUAUUUCGCAUCACUCAUACCUUGGGUAGGUGCAAUUUUUGGAAAC